CAGCACGCCCUGGGCCUCCCUGUGCUGUCCUGAGGCUGGACAACAGAAAAACAAGAAAAUGGACUCCUUUCUCCUGCAGACCUGCUUGAUUGCCAGCCAGGAAGUGCCAGAGUUUGCAGCCUCAUGGAGGAAGACAAGGUCAAGGCCCUCCUCUGGACCACACAGUGACAAGUCAGCAGGAUUGAGCCAAACACCCAGAGGUCAUGACCUCUGUUGUGGAAGUCUUUUGGAUCCUGGACGCUGUCAUUCCUCUACUGUCUCAUAGGCCUGAACCCAGAGCCAAGCCAUUGUUAUCACGCCCUUUGAA
Molecule: long non-coding RNA, 307 nt
Organism: Dipodomys ordii (Ord's kangaroo rat)
Lineage: Eukaryota; Metazoa; Chordata; Mammalia; Rodentia; Heteromyidae
Exons: 3
Source: RefSeq, a predicted model, not a curated record